Molecule: small nuclear RNA, 18 nt
Filed under: Arabidopsis thaliana (thale cress)
Lineage: Eukaryota; Viridiplantae; Streptophyta; Magnoliopsida; Brassicales; Brassicaceae
Description: snRNA_15786
Source: RNAcentral
GUCCUCGUGUUGCAUCCC